CUGUGCAUGCGGCAGCUACACAUGCAGUCGACGGGCUCUUCGGAGCUAGUGGCGGACGGGUGAGUAACACGUGGGAACGUGCCUUUAGGUUCGGAAUAAGCCCGGGAAACUGGGUCUAAUACCGGAUGUGCCCUUCGGGGGAAAGAUUUAUCGCCUUUAGAGCGGCCCGCGUCUGAUUAGCUAGUUGGUGGUGUAAUGGACCACCAAGGCGACGAUCAGUAGCUGGUCUGAGAGGAUGAUCAGCCACAUUGGGACUGAGACACGGCCCAAACUCCUACGGGAGGCAGCAGUGGGGAAUCUUGCGCAAUGGGCGAAAGCCUGACGCAGCCAUGCCGCGUGAAUGAUGAAGGUCUUAGGAUUGUAAAAUUCUUUCACCGGGGACGAUAAUGACGGUACCCGGAGAAGAAGCCCCGGCUAACUUCGUGCCAGCAGCCGCGGUAAUACGAAGGGGGCUAGCGUUGCUCGGAAUUACUGGGCGUAAAGGGAGCGUAGGCGGACAUUUAAGUCAGGGGUGAAAUCCCGGGGCUCAACCUCGGAACUGCCUUUGAUACUGGGUGUCUUGAGUGUGAUAGAGGUAUGUGGAACUCCGAGUGUAGAGGUGAAAUUCGUAGAUAUUCGGAAGAACACCAGUGGCGAAGGCGACAUACUGGAUCAUUACUGACGCUGAGGCUCGAAAGCGUGGGGAGCAAACAGGAUUAGAUACCCUGGUAGUCCACG
RNAcentral lists this ribosomal RNA (717 nucleotides) under Brevundimonas bacteroides. Its description in RNAcentral is "bacterial SSU rRNA". It matches the Rfam family "Bacterial small subunit ribosomal RNA", at positions 31 to 799 of the family's 1533-position model. Lineage: Bacteria; Pseudomonadati; Pseudomonadota; Alphaproteobacteria; Caulobacterales; Caulobacteraceae. The record is from RNAcentral.